AAAACACAGGGACUAAAACUAGACUUGACAUGGUAGGGCUGUUUUUGAAGCUGCCUAUUAUACUGCAGUGUGUACAGAUUCAGCCAAACUGAGGUAGCAGACCGAGGAUUUCAGCAGCUGAUAUCUGGAACAGUAUCCUGAGUCUACUCUGCAGAGGUAUCCCUACCUGCUCUGUAUGAUGUGAUCUCUACACACAUUCACAAUCUGAUCCACAACAACAUCAGGGACAGAAGUUUGACCACGGACAGAUGGACUUCUGACAUCUGAGUUUGACGGCCCAGUGGCUGGAUGAAGACUUUAACAUGAAGAAGAUGUUACAGCAGCACAGGAGACCUCCGGUUCACAGUGACUAAAUAAAUGAAGCUGAAGAGUCA
Long non-coding RNA from Notolabrus celidotus (New Zealand spotty), 374 nucleotides. RefSeq lists it as uncharacterized. The record is from RefSeq and is a predicted model, not a curated record. The transcript is spliced from 2 exons. Lineage: Eukaryota; Metazoa; Chordata; Actinopteri; Labriformes; Labridae.